This 170-nucleotide ribosomal RNA is filed under the name Vibrio alginolyticus. Its description in RNAcentral is "partial 16S ribosomal RNA". It matches the Rfam family "Bacterial small subunit ribosomal RNA", at positions 462 to 633 of the family's 1533-position model. The record is from RNAcentral. Lineage: Bacteria; Pseudomonadati; Pseudomonadota; Gammaproteobacteria; Vibrionales; Vibrionaceae.
GCAUUAUUUGACGUUAGCGACAGACCAGCACCGGCUAACUCCGUGCCAGCAGCCGCGGUAAUACGGAGGGUGCGAGCGUUAAUCGGAAUUACUGGGCGUAAAGCGCAUGCAGGUGGUUUGUUAAGUCAGAUGUGAAAGCCCGGGGCUCAACCUCGGAAUGCAUUUGAAAC